Molecule: ribosomal RNA, 291 nt
Filed under: Salmonella enterica
Lineage: Bacteria; Pseudomonadati; Pseudomonadota; Gammaproteobacteria; Enterobacterales; Enterobacteriaceae
Also listed under: 2 other names
Description: partial 23S ribosomal RNA
Rfam family: Bacterial large subunit ribosomal RNA
Source: RNAcentral
CGCUGGAGAACUGAGGGGGGCUGCUCCUAGUACGAGAGGACCGGAGUGGACGCAUCACUGGUGUUCGGGUUGUCAUGCCAAUGGCACUGCCCGGUAGCUAAAUGCGGAAGAGAUAAGUGCUGAAAGCAUCUAAGCACGAAACUUGCCCCGAGAUGAGUUCUCCCUGAGACUUAGAGUCUCCUGAAGGAACGUUGAAGACGACGACGUUGAUAGGCCGGGUGUGUAAGCGCAGCGAUGCGUUGAGCUAACCGGUACUAAUGAACCGUGAGGCUUAACCUUACAACGCCGAAG